This 506-nucleotide ribosomal RNA is filed under the name uncultured bacterium. Its description in RNAcentral is "partial 16S ribosomal RNA". It matches the Rfam family "Bacterial small subunit ribosomal RNA", at positions 29 to 523 of the family's 1533-position model. The record is from RNAcentral.
AGUGAACGCUGGCGGUAGGCCUAACACACGCAAGUCGAACGGCAGCACAGGGGAGCUUGCUCUCUGGGUGGCGAGUGGCGGACGGGUGAGGAAUACAUCGGAAUCUACUCUGUCGUGGGGGAUAACGUAGGGAAACUUACGCUAAUACCGCAUACGACCUACGGGUGAAAGCAGGGGACCUUCGGGCCUUGCGCGAUGGAAUGAGCCGAUGUCGGAUUAGCUAGUUGGCGGGGUAAAGGCCCACCAAGGCGACGAUCCGUAGCUGGUCUGAGAGGAUGAUCAGCCACACUGGAACUGAGACACGGUCCAGACUCCUACGGGAGGCAGCAGUGGGGAAUAUUGGACAAUGGGCGCAAGCCUGAUCCAGCCAUACCGCGUGGGUGAAGAAGGCCUUCGGGUUGUAAAGCCCUUUUGUUGGGAAAGAAAUCCAGCUGGCUAAUACCCGGUUGGGAUGACGGUACCCAAAGAAUAAGCACCGGCUAACUUCGUGCCAGCCGCCGCAGUAA